Venturia canescens is the source of this 721-nucleotide long non-coding RNA. RefSeq lists it as uncharacterized. Lineage: Eukaryota; Metazoa; Arthropoda; Insecta; Hymenoptera; Ichneumonidae. The transcript has 2 exons. The record is from RefSeq and is a predicted model, not a curated record.
CAUAAAACUGCAAAGUGGAUCCAAUUUCAAAAGUUUUUUUUAUCUCUAUUUCGUUGAACAAUGAAUAAAAUAUAUUUUAGUAAAUAUUACAAUUUCGAUGAACGCUAUGUAGUAAUAACUUACACGUUGUGGAGCAUUGGUAUGGAGAUGAGUUCCACUGUGAUGACCCGUAUACUGUUGUUGGUCCGCUGUUUCCAAUGUCGUUGGCAAGUCUAACAGUCUUUGAAUCUAAAAACAGGUCCCAUAUGACUGAUGUGAUUGAAGUUCGUUGGCGCUGAAAUCAUUUUGGAUCGUCUGUCGGUAGGUCGAGCUCCCCGAUUGCCUUCGCGAAGUGAAAACCGUCUUCUGGGUCUCGUCAUUUGUCUACCGCUCGCGUCUAGUGGCGUAAGAUUGAGUAAUUCCCCUGUAGAAUGUCGCGAGACAAAAAAGAUGAUCGAGAAUAUAUUUUGCGAGGUUUUCCAAUCGAAAUACAUCGAAAUUGGUGAUUGAGUACUCACGUUGAUGCAAAUUACUCAAAUAAAUAACAUGUGGCAUGUCAUUGAUCAUGCACGUAGUUAAAGAGCCUGAAGUAUUCAAAGGCCUCGCUUUCUUUACAUUAAGAGUUUGCAGCCAAUCGCCGGUCGUGCAAUCAAAAACGUCAACAUGAGUUUCACUGUAGACUAGAAGGUAGCCUUCGCAAUAGCCUGAAAAUUCAAAUAAAAUUGUGAAAUAAAUUGUGAUA